AGAUUACGCGAGGGGUGCUUGCCUAGCUGAGAUUAAGCGUAAGCUUAAAACCCUUUAAACCUGUUAAGUUAAGACUUGCGAAGGGACGUGUACACAGCUAAAG
Molecule: non-coding RNA, 103 nt
Filed under: Bombilactobacillus mellis
Lineage: Bacteria; Bacillati; Bacillota; Bacilli; Lactobacillales; Lactobacillaceae
Description: Lactobacillus mellis TPP sequence
Rfam family: TPP riboswitch aptamer (THI element)
About the family: Vitamin B(1) in its active form thiamin pyrophosphate (TPP) is an essential coenzyme that is synthesised by coupling of pyrimidine and thiazole moieties in bacteria.
Source: Rfam by way of RNAcentral